RNAcentral lists this ribosomal RNA (253 nucleotides) under uncultured bacterium. RNAcentral describes it as "partial 16S ribosomal RNA". It matches the Rfam family "Bacterial small subunit ribosomal RNA", at positions 524 to 776 of the family's 1533-position model. The record is from RNAcentral.
UACGGAGGGAGCUAGCGUUGUUCGGAUAUACUGGGCGUAAAGCGCACGUAGGCGGCGUCGUAAGUCAGGGGUGAAAUCCCGGAGCUCAACUCCGGAACUGCCCUUGAAACUGCAAUGCUAGAAUCUUGGAGAGGCGAGUGGAAUUCCGAGUGUAGAGGUGAAAUUCGUAGAUAUUCGGAAGAACACCAGUGGCGAAGGCGGCUCACUGGACUGGUAUUGACGCUGAGGUGCGAAAGCGUGGGGAGCAAACAGG